This 643-nucleotide unclassified non-coding RNA is filed under the name Hevea brasiliensis (rubber tree). Lineage: Eukaryota; Viridiplantae; Streptophyta; Magnoliopsida; Malpighiales; Euphorbiaceae. The record is from RNAcentral.
UUAAAAUGUGUCCCUCGUUUGACAGAACUUUCUCUGAGGUAUUAUCGUAAGGACUGGAAAGAAUUUGAUGUUGCAAAUUUUUUAACAUCAAACUUUUUUGAGUCAUGUCCUGAUCAUCUCGAGCAUCUUCACUUGGAUUAUGGGGUCAUUGCUAAAGGCCAAGAAAUACCGAAAAAGCUUCCCUUUGAUCUGUUGUGUGUCAAACAUCUUUGCAUGUGUAUUUAUCUUGACAGGGAUGAGAUUCUGUGUCCUCUUUCGUUGAUAAGAAGCUUCCCAUUUUUACAAUAUCUAGAAAUUCAGAUGGAGCAUAAUUUUAAGAAGAAUAUGCCGGCUCUAGAAUGUCUUGAAAUGGAAGCUUUUCCAGAUGUGAUAUUCGAACAUCUAAGGGAAGUGACGCUAAUAGAAGCUAAUGCGAGUAUACGGGAGAUGCAACUUAUCAAGCUUCUGUUAGCCAUGUCUCCGGCGCUAGUGAAAAUGGUAAUCAGUCCUCACAGGUUUUUGGGAAAAUCUACUAUAGUCAAAACACUUACUAAGCUAGCAGAAUUUGAGUGUGCACCUAAAGCAGAAAUUUUCCUUAAACUAGUAUAAAUACCAUCAUGUUUUGGAUGUUGAGAUUAAGAGAUAGAAGUGAAUGUUGAUGCAG